Molecule: long non-coding RNA, 542 nt
Filed under: Salmo salar (Atlantic salmon)
Lineage: Eukaryota; Metazoa; Chordata; Actinopteri; Salmoniformes; Salmonidae
Description: lncRNA (ENSSSAG00000083012.1)
Source: RNAcentral
UGGUCGACAGUCUGCUGGGUGGGGCGUUAUAUGUUCCUUCAUUCAUUGGAUUCCUAUCUCUUUUCUAUAAUAUCUCUGACAACAGCACCAUGCAAUGCACCCUGGACUAAAGAGGCAGACAAAUUGGAAAAAUAUGCUAGACCCUCCGUUAAAUUACAAAUGUCUUGAGGUAGGAAUAUCGCAAAAAUAGGAUCAAUGGCUCAUUGGAGAGAAGACAUCCUCCCGCGUUAUGACAUCGGUAGGCUACGUAUGAAGAGACAUCAAAGAAUGGGGAACAUCUCACCUCCUCUGCUUGUUCCACAUACAGCAGCAGCAAUCUACAGUCUUGGUUUAAGACACCGGAACUCCGUUGGAUGAGACAUACAUCCAACCAACUUCACAACCAUAACCACGCCAGCCCAGAACCUCCACAUCCAGCUUCUUCACCUGCGGGAUUGUCUGAGACCAGCCACCCAGACAGCUGAUGAAACUGAGGAGUAUUUCUGUCUGUAAUAAAGCCCUUUUGUGGGGAAAAUCUCAUUCUGCUUGGCUGGGCCUGGCUC